AUAUUAGUCAAUGCUCGCAAGAGUGAACUAGCUAACUGAAAUCAUAUAAGUGUCUUAUGUGAUGUCGUAAGGGAAAAUAAUGAUAUUACCUUACUAAUAGUGUCGUCUAAAACUGGUGCCAGAAGACUCGGUAAGGCCAGAGACACAAAUGUUAAUCGUCUUAAUCAGGCGUAAAGGGUUUGUAGGCUGCUUUGAAAAUAUUGAUUUAAUAUAGCGUAAGUAGAUCAAUAUCAAUUAAAGCUAGAAUCUAAUAGAGGAUAUUUACGAAAUAAUGCUUGGUCGAGGGCUGAUAUCCGAAGACAUCAAGUGGAGUUCCAAUGGCGUAAGCAUUUAUCCAUUAAAGAUUGACGCUGAGAAACGAAGGUGAGGAUAGGAAAUAGGAUUAGAUACCCAGAUACCCCUCUCUGUCAACGAUGAAUGGUAGUUUGUUAGUCAAUAAGACUAGUGACGAAGUUAACACGUUAACCAUUCCGCCUUGUGAGUACGACUGCAAAGUUGAAAACAAAAAAAUUAGUCGGUCUCGGAGCAAACGAAGUGAAGUAUGUUAUUUAAU
This 553-nucleotide ribosomal RNA is filed under the name Steccherinum tenue. Its description in RNAcentral is "SSU rRNA". It matches the Rfam family "Bacterial small subunit ribosomal RNA", at positions 361 to 950 of the family's 1533-position model. The record is from RNAcentral. Lineage: Eukaryota; Fungi; Basidiomycota; Agaricomycetes; Polyporales; Steccherinaceae.